AGAGUUUGAUCCUGGCUCAGAAUCAACGCUGGCGGCGUGCCUAACACAUGCAAGUCGAACGCGAAAGGGAGCAAUCCUGAGUAGAGUGGCGUCCGGGUGAGUAACACGUGAAUAAUCUACCUGCGGGCGGGGAAUAACUUUCCGAAAGGAAGGCUAAUACCGCAUAAAAUCUAGCUGGGAUAGCCUAGUUAGAUCAAAGAGGGGGAUCGCAAGACCUCUCGCCUGUAGAGGAGUUCGCGGCUGAUUAGCUAGUUGGCGGGGUAAAGGCCCACCAAGGCGACGAUCAGUAGCCGGCCUGAGAGGGCGGUCGGCCACACUGGCACUGAAAUACGGGCCAGACUCCUACGGGAGGCAGCAGUGAGGAAUAUUGCGCAAUGGGGGCAACCCUGACGCAGCAACGCCGCGUGAGUGAGGAAGGUUUUCGGAUUGUAAAGCUCUGUCGAGCGGAAAGAAAUGCAUUAUGGCUAAUAUCCAUCAUGCUUGACGGUACCGCUAAAGGAAGCACCGGCUAACUCCGUGCCAGCAGCCGCGGUAAUACGGGGGGUGCAAGCGUUGUUCGGAAUCAUUGGGCGUAAAGCGCGUGUAGGCGGCUGGACAAGUCAGAUGUGAAAGCCCUGGGCUUAACCCAGGAAGUGCAUUUGAAACUGUUCGGCUAGAGUAAGGGAGAGGAAAGUGGAAUUCCUGGUGUAGAGGUGAAAUUCGUAGAUAUCAGGAGGAACACCGGUGGCGAAGGCGACUUUCUGGCCCUAUACUGACGCUGAGACGCGAAAGCGUGGGUAGCAAACAGGAUUAGAUACCCUGGUAGUCC
This 808-nucleotide ribosomal RNA is filed under the name uncultured bacterium. RNAcentral describes it as "bacterial SSU rRNA". It matches the Rfam family "Bacterial small subunit ribosomal RNA", at positions 8 to 796 of the family's 1533-position model. The record is from RNAcentral.